RNAcentral lists this ribosomal RNA (403 nucleotides) under uncultured soil bacterium. RNAcentral describes it as "bacterial SSU rRNA". It matches the Rfam family "Bacterial small subunit ribosomal RNA", at positions 26 to 434 of the family's 1533-position model. The record is from RNAcentral.
AGAUUGAACGCUGGCGGAAUGCCUUACACAUGCAAGUCGAACGGCAGCACGGGAGCAAUCCUGGUGGCGAGUGGCGAACGGGUGAGUAAUACAUCGGAACGUGCCCAAUCGUGGGGGAUAACGUAGCGAAAGCUACGCUAAUACCGCAUACGAUCUACGGAUGAAAGCAGGGGAUCGCAAGACCUUGCGCAAAUGGAGCGGCCGAUGGCAGAUUAGGUAGUUGGUGGGUAAAGGCUCACCAAGCCUUCGAUCUGUAGCUGGUCUGAGAGGACGACCGAGGCCACACUGGGACUGAGACACGGCCCAGACUCCUACGGGAGGCAGCAGUGGGAAUUUGGACAAUGGGCGCAAGCCUGAUCCAGCCAUUCCGCGUGCAGGAUGGAAGCUUCGGUUGUAACGUGUC